Molecule: ribosomal RNA, 152 nt
Filed under: Eutypa lata
Lineage: Eukaryota; Fungi; Ascomycota; Sordariomycetes; Xylariales; Diatrypaceae
Description: 5.8S ribosomal RNA
Rfam family: 5.8S ribosomal RNA
About the family: 5.8S ribosomal RNA (5.8S rRNA) is a component of the large subunit of the eukaryotic ribosome. It is transcribed by RNA polymerase I as part of the 45S precursor that also contains 18S and 28S rRNA.
Source: RNAcentral
AACUUUCAACAACGGAUCUCUUGGUUCUGGCAUCGAUGAAGAACGCAGCGAAUGCGAUAAGUAAUGUGAAUUGCAGAAUUCAGUGAAUCAUCGAAUCUUUGAACGCACAUGCGCCCAUUAGUAUUCUAGUGGGCAUGCCUGUUCGAGCGUCA